UUCAAUAAUAAUUAAUCACAAUGGAGUAUCUACAUUGUGAGGCAGUACACAAUCCAAGAUCAAACAUGAAUUACUAUUCAUCAUGUGGAUUUCAAUCUCAAAAUCCAGAUUUCAAAAACAUGGUUUCUAAAGCCACCAACCAUCUUAAUUCUGCACUAGCUGGUUCUUGUCAGAAUAAAAAUAAUCGCUUUUCUAAAGUUGGCAGGCCCAAGAUUGAAGAGAAAUUGGUUAAAAAAGAUGAAUCUUUCAGUAAAAAAAUUCAAGAACCCGAAAAGAAGUUUGAUCAAAAGGGUUAUAAUCAGCCAGGUGCAGGGAAAAGGAUUAAAGAUGUGAUAAGAUUGAUGAAGGAUGUUGAAAACGGCGAAAGGCUGCCCAAUAAACCGAAUAAGAAUAAUCGGUUUUCUAAAGUUGGUAGGCCCAACAAGAAAAGGGUUUAUUAUGAUGAUCUUGAGUUGGGUUGUCCCAAGAUUGAAGAGAAAUUUGUUAAAAAAGAUGAAUCUUUUAGUAAAAGGAUUCAAGAACCCGAAAAGAAGGUUGAUAAGGAGGAUUUAAGAAACGAUCAAAAGAGUUUUAAUCAGCCGGGUGCAGGGAAAAAUAUUAGAUAUGUGAAAAGAUUAAUGGAGGAGGUCGUUGAAAGGCUGCCCAAGAAACGAAAGGUGGAUCAUCAGACGCGUCGCAGGUGCGUGCUUUCUACAUUAAUUGAAAAGAAUAUUGUUAGUAGGGGUUCGAAUGUUAGUUAUCGUAAGAAAGAUGGAAAAGUUAUUGCGAAAGGGCGGGCGUAUGAUGAAGGUAUUCAAUGUGAUUGUUGUGGGGUGUACUUUUUGUUGUGUAAAUUUGAAGCUCAUGCUGGUAGUACUUAUCAUAGACCAGCAGCUUAUACCUUUCUUGAAGAUGGGACUGGGAGGUCUAUUUCUGACUGUCAAAAUCAAUUGAAGAAACUCGAUAACCAUCAUGUGUUUAAGGUUCCUAAAACACCUGAUCGUGCGUGUGAAGUCCCUAAGCCUUCACAAGUAUUGACAGGGCAUGAUGAAUUCUGUUGGGUAUGUAAAGAUGGGGGUGAGUUGUUGUCAUGUGAUUCUUGCACAUCAUGUUACCAUCUGUCCUGCAUUGGGUUGAAAAGCAUGCCGAAAUCAUGUUACUGGUUUUGUCCUACCUGUUCUUGUGGUAUUUGUGAUCGUGAUAAGAUUGGUAACUUCACUGAUGAUAAAGCUCGCAGCAAAGUUAAAUGUGGACAAUGUCGGCACCAGUACCAUAUUGAUUGUAUUAGAAACUUGGGUUUCUCAAUGUCUUUUGAUUCUAAAAAUUGGUUUUGUAAAGAGGCAUGUGAAAGAAUAUUUCUCGGCCUUAAGGGGAUAUCUGGCCAGGCGAUUCCUUUGCCAGUUGAUGGCUUAAAUUGGAGAUUGUUACAAAUUGACUAUGAACACAGCAUGGAGGACUGUGCAGAAACUUAUGGUAAGCUAAAUGACGCGUUAGAUGUGAUGCACGAGUGUUUUGAGAUGGUAAACAAUCCGUUGUCCGGAAAUGAUAUCAUGGAAGAUGUCAUCUUUAGUAGAGAUAUAAAGGGUUCGGAUUUUGCGGGGUUUUAUACUACAGUUUUGGAGAAAGAUGAGGAAAUAGUUAGUGUGGUUAACUUUCGGGUGCAUGGUAGUAAAGUGGCUGAGAUUCCAUUAGUUGCAACAAGAUUUCAACACAGAAAAUUAGGGAUGUGCAGGAUUUUGAUGGAUGAGCUUGAAAGGAAAUUGGAAUACUUUGGGGUUAAGAGACUCGUUUUGACUGCCGUUCCAGAGAUGGUUAGUGCUUGGACAGAGUCAUUUGGGUUCACUGUGAUGUCAGAAGCUGAAUGUUUAGAUGCUGUUGACUGCAAGUUUCUUGAAUUUCCUGGUACCAUAAAAUGUCAGAAAUUCUUGAAGAAUAUGUGAGCAGAUAUGUUUAUUCUAGUUCUUUAUAAGAUAUGGCCCAUCUCAUGACUCGUGAUGAAGACAUUGAAGGUGAUGGUGUAAUAUGCGUGGCUGUUGACAAUCUGCUAACUGGAUUUGCCAAAGAGCUACUAUAUUGAUGAUAUACCUCUUCACUUAAGGAGAGCUGGUAUAGCACAUGGAGGAGCUCUUACUAACUUAUACGAAUAUAUCCCCCGAAUGCGGAAUCCACAAGACUUGUCAGAGAAUAUUGCCAGUGUCGUCUCUAAUAGGAAGAGAUAUACUAUGCUGGUUUGUUUCUGAUUCCCAUGCUUCACUAUCAGUUUAUUUUACAAUAUUAUCACAUAAUCUAUUUCAGAGGGAUCAUAUACAGUCCUUACAGCCGUGGACUUUAUGAUUUGUGUGUUGGAUAACCUUCAUCCAGGUGAUAGAUAAAUAAGAGAAUGGACUGGUCAUCCCUCUUCUACUUGGUUUUCUUAUUUUUGUUACUUGCUAGAAGUUUUUGUAAGUGUUCGUAAACCUGUAUAGUCGUGAUGUUCUUUUCUCUGUUUUGUCUUACUAUAUUGAAGGUUACCUUAUUUGUGUUCUUGUUAGUCGGUGACUUUUAUGCAGUUUGAUAUCGUUAUGAGCAUAUGACCCGAAAACCCGUGAUCCGAACCCAACCCGUCCGAAGAGGUAAUGGGUCGGGUCACGGGUUUGAUUUUGUUGGUCCUCCGGGUUUCGGGCCGGGCCGCCCGGGUUUUGACAAGUGAAGAACAAGAAACCCCUUAAACCCGAUAACCGAACCGAACCCUUCCAAACCCAAACUGACCUACCCGAAGGGGUAACAGGCUGGGUCACGGGUUUGAUUUUAUUGCUUCACCGGGUCACGGGUUGCAUGGGUCGGUCCGGGUUUGACCCGUGCACAUCCCUAAAUAUAUGCAUUAUUGUAGUUUACUGGUUUUGUUGUUUCGUUUAUUGUAUUAUGGCAUCUAACAUGCUAGCUACUAUGACAUAUAUUGAAGAUUUACCUCUUCACUUAAGGCCUAUCACAAUAGGGUUGUCGACAACCCUUCGAUGGGCUCGUUGACGAUGCCCUUAUUGUGAGCACCCCGUCGAUGGGGUUCAUCGUCGCCAGCCAUCAACCCAUCGAUGUGCAAUGACGAGAAAAAGAUAGAGAGAGUGGGGCCGAACUGUCUUUCUUUUUUUUUCUUCUGUUUUUUCAUAUAUUGUGUGUAUAUAUAUACACAUAUCUGUGUGUUUUUUUUAUGUGUGUUGUGUGUGUGUGUGUGCAGAUAAUUACAAGGAAGAAGACACAUUUUUCAGAAAUUAACACUUUUGGUUCCUCUAUCAUUUUACAUAUGGUUUUUAUAUACUUAAAAAAAUUUCAGUUUAGUCCCUAAAGUAUUAACUUAUUUAUAAUUUAGUUUUAAAGUUUUCAAAAGUUUUGAAUAUAACUAUAAUCUAGGUGCGGGCUAGGUUUGUCAACCUGCUGUUGAGCUCUUAUCAUCGAUUGGAAGCAAUUCACCUCUAGAAUGGACAAAAUUAAGCAAGAUAGCAGAAUUCUUGGAAAAGAACUGAGUUAUACUGUUAUAGUCGCGUCACUUUUUCUGAAGGACGCAGAGGAGGUACGCUUAACUUUUCAUAUGUGGUCAUAAUUUUAUGUUGACUCUGGAGUCUGCAUUGAAGUACUAAUUGAUAUGUGACUUUUUUAAUCAGCUCACCAUCAGUGUAGUAAUGGCCCACUCUCUAUGGAUAGAAAACCGUGGAUGCAUAAUAUAAUUCUGAUAUUAAUAAUUUAUUAAAAAAAAUUAAGUUAAUAAAAUGCUUGUGAUAUUCAAAGAUCAUUUCUGGAGUUUCUUGCCUUUUUGAUAGUUCUAGUGGAGACAAGGUUACUAUUAUCUGAAAUUGAAACAUGCUCUUACUGAGAUACUAUAUUUAUAUUGCAUAUACAGAUCCACAUAUAUUCUUGCCAAGGAGUGAAGAAAUUUCUUUGAGUACUGUGUACUUUUAUGAUCAUCUUUUGGUGAAUGUUCUAAAUUGUUUCUGUAUAUCCUAUUGGGUUUCUCCAUAGUUGAUUUACUUCCAAAUCUUAAUUGUAGUCUUGUUUUCAAUUUUAUGUAGACAUUAUUAAGAGCUUCUUUAUAAGUAAACUACUGAUGUGCACUGUACUGCUUAUAGGUUAAUUAACAGUUUUAGGCUUGUGAUAAUUUCAGUUUUCCCUGGUUUCCAUUCGCAGAGAAGUGGGUUAAGUAUGGCCCACCGUUUUCUAUCUCCCUGUUUUGCUGUAAUUCGAAGGUGAUCCAGAUGCUAUCGCAGUACAGCUGGACACGAUGGAUUAUGAUAGUCUCUAUAAGUCAGUCAGUCAGGUAAGUACUCCUUGUUAUUGCUUGUCCCAAUAGUGAAAAUGCUUGUGGUGUUGCUAUAAUUGAAGAUAGAUGUCAAAUAUGAUAUUGGUUGCAUUGAAAUCAUCUAGAACUAUUAAAUCCUGGGUGUCUUGAGCAUUGGUAAAAAGCAUUUAGCGAAUACAACUUUAGUAGCGGUGAGAUGAAGAGUUUAAAUGGAUGGCAUUUGGGAGCUAAUAGCAAUGAUAUACAAAUCUCUGGAUCUGAACAUGGUAUCAUCCAGGUGACAGUAUCUCGGUGGAUAAUGUGGUGCUGUAUAAGCAGCAUAUAUUAAAUAGAUGGAUUUGCAGUAGACCUACGAAAUGCAAAUGCUAGAGACCCUUUAAUCACGUUUAUGUAAGGCUGUAGAACUCGGGACUCGGGAUCGGAUU
Molecule: RNA transcript, 4671 nt
Organism: Erigeron canadensis
Lineage: Eukaryota; Viridiplantae; Streptophyta; Magnoliopsida; Asterales; Asteraceae
Gene name: increased DNA methylation 1-like
Exons: 4
Source: RefSeq, a predicted model, not a curated record